This 253-nucleotide ribosomal RNA is filed under the name uncultured bacterium. RNAcentral describes it as "partial 16S ribosomal RNA". It matches the Rfam family "Bacterial small subunit ribosomal RNA", at positions 524 to 776 of the family's 1533-position model. The record is from RNAcentral.
UACAGAGGAGCCAAGCGUUGUCCGGAUUGACUGGGCGUAAAGCGCACGCAGGCGGUCGCGCGCGUGGGGUGUGAAAUCUGGCCGCUUAACGGCCAGGCGCCAUCCCAUACGGCGCGACUGGAGUGAUGCAGAGGUCGGUGGAAUUGCCGGUGUAGUGGUGAAAUGCGUAGAGAUCCGGAAGAACACCGGAGGCGAAGGCGGCUUGCUGGGCGUGAUCUGACGCUGAGGCGCGAAAGCGUGGGGAGCGAACAGG